CGGGCUGGACCUCUCGGGGUUACAGCCUUGCUGAAUUAUUCACCCUUGUCUUUUGCGUACUUCUUGUUUCCUUGGUGGGUUCGCCCACCACUAGGACAAACAUAAACCUUUUGUAAUUGCAAUCAGCGUCAGUAACAAAUUAAUAAUUACAACUUUCAACAACGGAUCUCUUGGUUCUGGCAUCGAUGAAGAACGCAGCGAAAUGCGAUAAGUAGUGUGAAUUGCAGAAUUCAGUGAAUCAUCGAAUCUUUGAACGCACAUUGCGCCCUUUGGUAUUCCAAAGGGCAUGCCUGUUCGAGCGUCAUUUGUACCCUCAAGCUUUGCUUGGUGUUGGGCGUCUUGUCUCUAGCUUUGCUGGAGACUCGCCUUAAAGUAAUUGGCAGCCGGCCUACUGGUUUCGGAGCGCAGCACAAGUCGCACUCUCUAUCAGCAAAGGUCUAGCAUCCAUUAAGCCUUUUUUUCAACUUUUGACCUCGGAUCAAGUAGGGAUACCCGCUGAACUUAAGCAU
Molecule: ribosomal RNA, 509 nt
Filed under: Alternaria tenuissima
Lineage: Eukaryota; Fungi; Ascomycota; Dothideomycetes; Pleosporales; Pleosporaceae
Description: eukaryotic LSU rRNA
Rfam family: 5.8S ribosomal RNA (bases 151-304)
Source: RNAcentral